RNAcentral lists this ribosomal RNA (488 nucleotides) under uncultured bacterium. RNAcentral's name for it is "partial 16S ribosomal RNA". It matches the Rfam family "Bacterial small subunit ribosomal RNA", at positions 28 to 527 of the family's 1533-position model. The record is from RNAcentral.
GACGAACGCUGGCGGCGUGCUUAACACAUGCAAGUCGAACGGAAAGGCCCUGCUUUUGUGGGGUGCUCGAGUGGCGAACGGGUGAGUAACACGUGAGUAACCUGCCCUUGACUUUGGGAUAACUUCAGGAAACUGGGGCUAAUACCGGAUAGGAGCUCCUGCUGCAUGGUGGGGGUUGGAAAGUUUCGGCGGUUGGGGAUGGACUCGCGGCUUAUCAGCUUGUUGGUGGGGUAGUGGCUUACCAAGGCUUUGACGGGUAGCCGGCCUGAGAGGGUGACCGGCGCGGUGGGGACGGAGAUGCGGCCGGGGGUCGGGGGGGAGGCUGGGGUGGGAAAGGUGGUACAGUGGGGGCCAGGCGGGUGCAGCGACGCGGCGGGGGGGAGGCCGGGCUUCGUGUGGAACACCGCUGUCCCCUGGGACGAAGGGUGAGGGACUGUAAGGGGAAAAGCAGCACAGGACAACUACGCGCCAGCGGCCGCGAUAAUAGG